UGUAAAUAGCACAUAGGUGGGAACCUUUGAAUGCAGCAACUACAGAAUGAUUAAGAAAGCGUGCCUGCCUUCUCUCUGCUCACACACUCACGGAACAACUAAAUCAGGACCCUUCGAAGCUUCCAGAUCAUCAUAAGAGCAUCUGCUGGUGCAGUGGAGUCUUGGGGUGAAGGAUUUGUAUCUGCAGAACCCCUGAGUCAUAGUAUCCACCCUCUGCUUCAGAUCAUCUACUAGUAGAGGACUCAUUGACCUGGGACGAAGUUCAUAGUUGAACAGCUCUGGAUAAAAGAAUGUUAUUAUUUGUGUUGAGUCAAGACUGGCCUUCAAGACACCCACUCUUUUGUACAAGUUCUGUACUUGACAGCAGUGGAAGUUUCAAUAUAAAAUAUAGAAGUAUCCCCAAAGAUGUCCUUUGAUGAGGAAUCCCUUGAUAGGGUUAGCUGUUACUUCAAACUCUUGGCAGGAAGAGAGGCACUGAACAUGAAGGAGGCCUGAAAACAGGUGGCAGGGCCCCAAACACCAGACUGGGGUUCUGGAACAAUUUUUUAGUUCCUGGCUAACCCAGCACAGAUUACAGAACUGGAAGAAAUAAGUUGUUGUUGUAAGGCAGUUAAUUUUGAAGUUAUCUCUGAGGCGUUUUUUUUUUUAAUCCAACAAUAUAGAUAAGUGAAACAUGCACAUAUAUUUAGUUUCAAAUAAAACUUCAUAGACUAACCAAAGCCUCUUCCCAGAUUUCUUAGACAAUCUUCAGACCAAGUUUAGAAUCCCUGGAAAGGAAUGCUCCCAGGCCCCAGUCUUACAAAUUUAGGGCUACAUCUCCCAAUAUUUGUCCCAAGUGAUGCUCCUCUUUAUGCCCCUCUCUUAUUAUUCCCUCUGCUCAGAAUGCCAUCUCCCACCCCCUUUCUUCUUACCCAAAACCUACCCAUCCUUGAGGCCCGUGCCAUGCUCCCCUUCCUCUAACAGACCUUUCCUCUCCUCUGUCCUAGUGCUGUGGUCACCACCAGCAAUAGCCAUACGUGGAAUGGGCUUCAGAAAGACCUUUGCUACCAGGGUCUCACCCCGCUUCAGCUCCCAAUAGCAUUCUUUCACAGUUGUUUCAUGGCACCUGGAGCCUCCCUGUUAUCAUGAUAUGUACACUACCUAAAAGUGCUCCUAGGCACUGUGUUUCCCUCAUCUCUGUGUGCCCUGUAGUGCCUCAGACUGUCAUGGGCGCAUCACCAGGACUUUUUCCAGUCCUUCUCCUUCUAACUCCAUGGUAUAGGCCUGGCUUAGAUUAAUGAUGCCGUCGGAAUUGGUAUCACAACCAAGCCUUUGUGCUCAUCUGAUUCUCGCACCUGGAAAGCAGCAUGAGAGCAGUAUCUGCACAUGUGCAGGUCCUCUUCAUAGGAAAACUUGAGUUUUCUGAAAGCUCAGGACUUGAGUCAAAUGAUCCUGCUCCCUGCUUGAUUCCUGAGUUUAGUGUUAAAUACUUCCUAACUGGAUGAACCUGAGCAGACUAUUAACCCUCUAUAUUAUGUUUUCUUCAUGUAAACAUUGGAGUUGUUCCAAUCUUGUAAUGUUGCUUUGUGUUUUAAAUGCCAUGUAUAUUCAACACCCAUCUAGUGAACAACACAUAACACAUUCUAUAAAAUUUUGGGAUUAAAAAAUGCUCUGGUGUCUGACUACUGUUAUGUUACUGCAGAUCCACUCUGCCUCAUUAUGACCUUGUUGAGUGGGACUUCUUGUAUUUAUUAUUACCUUUUUUUGCAAAAAGUAAAAUUCUAAAAUAAUUUACUGUUUAAAUUUAAAUCUAAGAAAUCUUAUAUUUGAGGGAAAAGCUACCAUAUUAAGAGCUCGUCUUCCUAGUUUCAUAUCAAAGUCUAUGCUCCUCUCAAACAUUAAACUAGAGCUGAGUUCAUUAGUCAUUCUCUUUAUCUUUCUCCUGAGGUUGUUAUUUUUGGUCUCAAUGUUAAACGAGACUAAACACUAACAAUUUAACCUCCCUCUCUUUUCACAAUAGCGACGUUUGCGUCCUUAAAACUGAAUGCCACACAGCUGACACAGUGCCGUUAGCAGACUUUACACCUUGGUUCUGUUUGCUUUGGAAAGACCAAAUGGAAAAUAAAGUCUGUGCAUCACUCAA
Molecule: non-coding RNA, 2122 nt
Organism: Macaca mulatta (Rhesus monkey)
Lineage: Eukaryota; Metazoa; Chordata; Mammalia; Primates; Cercopithecidae
Source: RefSeq, a predicted model, not a curated record